This 433-nucleotide ribosomal RNA is filed under the name uncultured bacterium. RNAcentral's name for it is "partial 16S ribosomal RNA". It matches the Rfam family "Bacterial small subunit ribosomal RNA", at positions 29 to 507 of the family's 1533-position model. The record is from RNAcentral.
AACGAACGCUGGCGGCAUGCCUAACACAUGCAAGUCGAACGAGACCUUCGGGUCUAGUGGCGCACGGGUGCGUAACGCGUGGGAACCUGCCCUUAGGUUCGGAAUAACUCCCCGAAAGGGGUGCUAAUACCGGAUAAUGUCUUCGGACCAAAGAUUUAUCGCCUUUGGAUGGGCCCGCGUUGGAUUAGCUAGUUGGUAGGGUAAAAGCCUACCAAGGCGACGAUCCAUAGCUGGUCUGAGAGGAUGAUCAGCCACACUGGGACUGAGACACGGCCCAGACUCCUACGGGAGGCAGCAGUGGGGAAUAUUGGACAAUGGGCGAAAGCCUGAUCCAGCAAUGCCGCGUGAGUGAUGAAGGCCUUAGGGUUGUAAAGCUCUUUUACCCGGGAUGAUAAUGACAGUACCGGCAGAAUAAGCUCCGGCUAACUCCGUG